Molecule: ribosomal RNA, 101 nt
Filed under: uncultured bacterium
Lineage: Bacteria
Description: partial 16S ribosomal RNA
Rfam family: Archaeal small subunit ribosomal RNA
Source: RNAcentral
CCCCUGCUCCUUGCACACACCGCCCGUCAAACCAUGCGAGUGGGGUCGGAGUGAAGGCACAUUCUUCGGUGUGUUUGAACUUCGAUUUUGCAAGCGGGGUU